ACGACUGUGACACAUGUGAGAAGAUAAAAACACUGAUAAGACACUUUCAGCUGCAGUGUGAAUAUAUAUGGUGUGUGUGUGUGUGUGUGUGUGUGUGAGACCCCGUGGAGGCCUGACUACCUCCCUGCCCCCUCUGGUGCUGCUUGUUAAUCACAGGGUGAUCAUUUCUAAGGAAAACAGAGGCGCCGGGAGCGAAAACAAACCGGUGAGAAUGUGAAAGGAAAGCCGGAGCGGCGGGGAAUUCAUGAGGGAGAAUGUUAUCGCUGCGACUAAAGGUCAUAUUGUUCACUUCUUCCUGACAGGCAAAGAGAGAGAGAGAGAGAAGGGAAGAGAACAGAAAUAUGGUGGUUAUAAACUUUGUGGCCAGUGUAGAAAAGUGAAAAAGUGCUUAAUACAAGAACACACAAAUGAUUAAACAGGUUAACUCGCAUCCUCGACACAUAUCCAACAACCAGGGACAGAAGUUUUGUCCUCCACCAGCCACAAUGGUUGGUUGACUCCAAAAUUCACCAUGUUAUCAGUUUUAUAUACAUUUUUUUAGUAUACAAUAACAUCUUGAAACAACAAUGUUUGGGUGUCUGACAGUGGCUCACAGGGUAUAAACAUUCAACAGACAAAACGGAAUCUUACAUUUGGCUGGUGGUGUU
Long non-coding RNA from Sander lucioperca (pikeperch), 647 nucleotides. RefSeq lists it as uncharacterized. The transcript is spliced from 2 exons. Lineage: Eukaryota; Metazoa; Chordata; Actinopteri; Perciformes; Percidae. The record is from RefSeq and is a predicted model, not a curated record.